UAUACAGCGAAACUGCGAAUGGCUCAUUAUAUAAGUUAUCGUUUAUUUGAUAGUACCUUACUACUUGGAUAACCGUGGUAAUUCUAGAGCUAAUACAUGCUAAAAAUCCCGACUCCGGAAGGGAUGUAUUUAUUAGAUUAAAAACCAAUGCCCUCUGGGCUCCUUGGUGAUUCACAAUAACUUUUCGAAUCGCACGGCCUUGCGCCGGCGAUGGUUCAUUCAAAUUUCUUCCCUAUCAACUUUCGAUGUUUGGGUAUUGGCCAAACAUGGUCGCAACGGGUAACGGAGGGUUAGGGCUCGACCCCGGAGAAGGAGCCUGAGAAACGGCUACUACAUCCAAGGAAGGCAGCAGGCGCGCAAAUUACCCAAUCCCGAUUCGGGGAGGUAGUGACAAUAAAUACUGAUACAGGGCUCUUUUGGGUCUUGUAAUUGGAAUGAGUACAAUUUAAAUCCCUUAACGAGGAACAAUUGGAGGGCAAGUCUGGUGCCAGCAGCCGCGGUAAUUCCAGCUCCAAUAGCGUAUAUUAAAGUUGUUGUGGUUAAAAAGCUCGUAGUUGAACCUUGGGCCUGGCUGGCCGGUCCGCCUCACCGCGUGCACUGGUCCGGCCGGGCCUUUCCCUCUGUGGAACCCCAUGCCCUUCACUGGGUGUGGCGGGGAAACAGGACUUUUACUUUGAAAAAAUUAGAGUGCUCCAGGCAGGCCUAUGCUCGAAUACAUUAGCAUGGAAUAAUAAAAUAGGACGCGUGGUUCUAUUUUGUUGGUUUCUAGGACCGCCGUAAUGAUUAAUAGGGACAGUCGGGGGCAUCAGUAUUCAAUUGUCAGAGGUGAAAUUCUUGGAUUUAUUGAAGACUAACUACUGCGAAAGCAUUUGCCAAGGAUGUUUUCAUUAAUCAGGAACGAAAGUUAGGGGAUCGAAGACGAUCAGAUACCGUCGUAGUCUUAACCAUAAACUAUGCCGACUAGGGAUCGGACGAUGUUAUUUUUU
This 986-nucleotide ribosomal RNA is filed under the name Arachnidicola kanyawimiae. Its description in RNAcentral is "SSU rRNA". It matches the Rfam family "Eukaryotic small subunit ribosomal RNA", at positions 75 to 1071 of the family's 1831-position model. The record is from RNAcentral. Lineage: Eukaryota; Fungi; Ascomycota; Sordariomycetes; Hypocreales; Cordycipitaceae.